CAGUAGCCGCGGUAAUACGUAGGUGGCAAGCGUUGUCCGGAAUUAUUGGGCGUAAAGGGCUCGCAGGCGGUUUCUUAAGUCUGAUGUGAAAGCCCCCGGCUCAACCGGGGAGGGUCAUUGGAAACUGGGAAACUUGAGUGCAGAAGAGGAGAGUGGAAUUCCACGUGUAGCGGUGAAAUGCGUAGAGAUGUGGAGGAACACCAGUGGCGAAUGCGACUCUCUGGUCUGUAACUGACGCUGAGGAGCGAAAGCGUGGGGAGCGAACAGGAUUAGAUACCCCCGUAGUCCCUGUCUCUUAUAC
RNAcentral lists this ribosomal RNA (301 nucleotides) under uncultured bacterium. RNAcentral's name for it is "partial 16S ribosomal RNA". It matches the Rfam family "Bacterial small subunit ribosomal RNA", at positions 509 to 807 of the family's 1533-position model. The record is from RNAcentral.